Xylona heveae TC161 is the source of this 123-nucleotide transfer RNA. It matches the Rfam family "tRNA". Rfam says of the family: Transfer RNA (tRNA) molecules are approximately 80 nucleotides in length. Their secondary structure includes four short double-helical elements and three loops (D, anti-codon, and T loops). NCBI's taxonomy places the organism in Eukaryota, Fungi, Ascomycota, Xylonomycetes, Xylonales, Xylonaceae. The record is from Rfam.
AGUCCCAUGACGCAGUGGUUAGCGUGUCGUUCUUAUAUGGAUCUGGUUUCGGAUUGGAUCAAUAUGGGUCAAGUCGCCAUCUAUGUGAUGCGAACGUCGCGGGUUCGAAUCCCGCUGGGACUA